This 253-nucleotide ribosomal RNA is filed under the name uncultured bacterium. RNAcentral's name for it is "partial 16S ribosomal RNA". It matches the Rfam family "Bacterial small subunit ribosomal RNA", at positions 524 to 776 of the family's 1533-position model. The record is from RNAcentral.
UACGGAGGGUGCGAGCGUUGUCCGGAAUCACUGGGCGUAAAGGGCGCGUAGGUGGCGCGGGCAGUCAACGGUGAAAGUCCAGGGCUCAACCCUGGAAUGCCGGUGGAUACUGCCGGGCUGGAGUCCGGAAGAGGCGAGUGGAAUUCCUGGUGUAGCGGUGAAAUGCGCAGAUAUCAGGAGGAACACCAAUGGCGAAGGCAGCUCGCUGGGACGGUACUGACACUGAGACGCGAAAGCGUGGGGAGCAAACAGG